RNAcentral lists this ribosomal RNA (468 nucleotides) under uncultured bacterium. RNAcentral's name for it is "partial 16S ribosomal RNA". It matches the Rfam family "Bacterial small subunit ribosomal RNA", at positions 28 to 507 of the family's 1533-position model. The record is from RNAcentral.
GACGAACGCUGGCGGCGUGCUUAACACAUGCAAGUCGAACGGAAAGGCCCUGCUUUUGUGGGGUGCUCGAGUGGCGAACGGGUGAGUAACACGUGAGUAACCUGCCCUUGACUUUGGGAUAACUUCAGGAAACUGGGGCUAAUACCGGAUAGGAUCUCCUGCUGCAUGGUGGGGGUUGGAAAGUUUCGGCGGUUGGGGAUGGACUCGCGGCUUAUCAGCUUGUUGGUGGGGUAGUGGCUUACCAAGGCUUUGACGGGUAGCCGGCCUGAGAGGGUGACCGGCCCCAUUGGGACUGAGAUACGGCCCAGACUCCUACGGGAGGCAGCAGUGGGGAAUAGUGCACAAUGGGCGGAAGCCUGAUGCAGCAACGCCGCGUGCGGGAUGACGGCCUUCGGGUUGUAAACCGCUUUCGCCUGUGACGAAGCGUGAGUGACGGUAAUGGGUAAAGAAGCACCGGCUAACUACGUG